This 449-nucleotide ribosomal RNA is filed under the name uncultured bacterium. RNAcentral describes it as "bacterial SSU rRNA". It matches the Rfam family "Bacterial small subunit ribosomal RNA", at positions 94 to 541 of the family's 1533-position model. The record is from RNAcentral.
ACCGGCGCACGGGUGCGUAACACGUAUGCAAUCUGCCUUGUACUGGAGCAUAGCCCUCGGAAACGAAGAUUAAUACUCCAUACAGUCUUACUAGCGCAUGCUAGUAAGAUGAAAGCUCCGGCGGUACAAGAUGAGCAUGCAUCCCAUUAGCUUGUUGGUGAGAUAACAGCUCACCAAGGCUACGAUGGGUAGGGGUUCUGAGAGGAAGAUCCCCCACACUGGCACUGAGAUACGGGCCAGACUCCUACGGGAGGCAGCAGUAGGGAAUAUUGGUCAAUGGGCGCAAGCCUGAACCAGCCAUGCCGCGUGCAGGAUGAAGGCCUUCAGGGUUGUAAACUGCUUUUGUAUGGGAAUAAAAAAGUCCUUGCGAGGACUCUUGAAGGUACCAUAAGAAUAGGCACCGGCUAACUCCGUGCCAGCAGCCGCGGUAAUACGGAGGGUGCAAGCGU